This is a long non-coding RNA of Thalassophryne amazonica, 103 nucleotides long. RefSeq lists it as uncharacterized. The record is from RefSeq and is a predicted model, not a curated record. Lineage: Eukaryota; Metazoa; Chordata; Actinopteri; Batrachoidiformes; Batrachoididae. The transcript has 3 exons.
UACAAUGUGAAUAUAUGACAUAUAGCAGUAAUGUCUUGUUAAAAAGUCAUUUAAAGAUGCAUUUUCAACAUUAGUAUCAUUGUUGCAAAUGCGGCUCCAUGGC